CACGUAGGGCGCGAGCGUUGUCCGGAAUUAUUGGGCGUAAAGAGCUCGUAGGCGGCCUGUUGCGUCCGCUGUGAAAGCCCGGGGCUUAACCCCGGGUCGGCAGUGGAUACGGGCAGGCUAGAGGUAGGUAGGGGAGAAUGGAAUUCCCGGUGUAGCGGUGAAAUGACGCAGAUAUCGGGAGGAACACCGGUGGCGAAGGCGGUUCUCUGGGCCUUACCUGACGCUGAGGAGCGAAAGCGUGGGGAGCGAACAGG
Molecule: ribosomal RNA, 254 nt
Filed under: uncultured bacterium
Lineage: Bacteria
Description: partial 16S ribosomal RNA
Rfam family: Bacterial small subunit ribosomal RNA
Source: RNAcentral